RNAcentral lists this ribosomal RNA (1148 nucleotides) under Staphylococcus saprophyticus. RNAcentral's name for it is "bacterial SSU rRNA". It matches the Rfam family "Bacterial small subunit ribosomal RNA", at positions 60 to 1189 of the family's 1533-position model. The record is from RNAcentral. Lineage: Bacteria; Bacillati; Bacillota; Bacilli; Caryophanales; Staphylococcaceae.
AGUCGAGCGAACGAUAAGGAGCUUGCUCCUUUGACGUUAGCGGCGGACGGGUGAGUAACACGUGGGUAACCUACCUAUAAGACUGGGAUAACUUCGGGAAACCGGAGCUAAUACCGGAUAACAUUUGGAACCGCAUGGUUCUAAAGUGAAAGAUGGUUUUGCUAUCACUUAUAGAUGGACCCGCGCCGUAUUAGCUAGUUGGUAAGGUAACGGCUUACCAAGGCGACGAUACGUAGCCGACCUGAGAGGGUGAUCGGCCACACUGGAACUGAGACACGGUCCAGACUCCUACGGGAGGCAGCAGUAGGGAAUCUUCCGCAAUGGGCGAAAGCCUGACGGAGCAACGCCGCGUGAGUGAUGAAGGGUUUCGGCUCGUAAAACUCUGUUAUUAGGGAAGAACAAACGUGUAAGUAACUGUGCACGUCUUGACGGUACCUAAUCAGAAAGCCACGGCUAACUACGUGCCAGCAGCCGCGGUAAUACGUAGGUGGCAAGCGUUAUCCGGAAUUAUUGGGCGUAAAGCGCGCGUAGGCGGUUUCUUAAGUCUGAUGUGAAAGCCCACGGCUCAACCGUGGAGGGUCAUUGGAAACUGGGAAACUUGAGUGCAGAAGAGGAAAGUGGAAUUCCAUGUGUAGCGGUGAAAUGCGCAGAGAUAUGGAGGAACACCAGUGGCGAAGGCGACUUUCUGGUCUGUAACUGACGCUGAUGUGCGAAAGCGUGGGGAUCAAACAGGAUUAGAUACCCUGGUAGUCCACGCCGUAAACGAUGAGUGCUAAGUGUUAGGGGGUUUCCGCCCCUUAGUGCUGCAGCUAACGCAUUAAGCACUCCGCCUGGGGAGUACGACCGCAAGGUUGAAACUCAAAGGAAUUGACGGGGACCCGCACAAGCGGUGGAGCAUGUGGUUUAAUUCGAAGCAACGCGAAGAACCUUACCAAAUCUUGACAUCCUUUGAAAACUCUAGAGAUAGAGCCUUCCCCUUCGGGGGACAAAGUGACAGGUGGUGCAUGGUUGUCGUCAGCUCGUGUCGUGAGAUGUUGGGUUAAGUCCCGCAACGAGCGCAACCCUUAAGCUUAGUUGCCAUCAUUAAGUUGGGCACUCUAGGUUGACUGCCGGUGACAAACCGGAGGAAAGGUGGGGAUGACGUCAAU